This 1146-nucleotide ribosomal RNA is filed under the name Peltigera lambinonii. RNAcentral describes it as "SSU rRNA". It matches the Rfam family "Eukaryotic small subunit ribosomal RNA", at positions 128 to 1281 of the family's 1831-position model. Lineage: Eukaryota; Fungi; Ascomycota; Lecanoromycetes; Peltigerales; Peltigeraceae. The record is from RNAcentral.
UACCUUCCUACUUGGAUACCUGUGGUAAUUCUAGAGCUAAUACAUGCUACAAACCCCAACUAAAGAAGGGGCGUAUUUAUUAGAUAAAAAACCAAUGCCCUCCGGGGCUCACUGGUGAUUCAUAAUAACUUAACGAAUCGCAUGGCCUUGCGCCGGCGAUGGUUCAUUCAAAUUUCUGCCCUAUCAACUUUCGAUGGUAGGAUAGUGGCCUACCAUGGUUUCUACGGGUAACGGGGAAUUAGGGUUCUAUUCCGGAGAGGGAGCCUGAGAAACGGCUACCACAUCCAAGGAAGGCAGCAGGCGCGCAAAUUACCCAAUCCCGACACGGGGAGGUAGUGACAAUAAAUACUGAUGGAGAGCUCUUUUGGGUUUUCUAGUUGGAAUGAGUACAAUUUAAAUUUCUUAACGAGGAACAAUUGGAGGGCAAGUCUGGUGCCAGCAGCCGCGGUAAUACCAGCUCCAAUAGCGUAUAUUAAAGUUGUUGCAGUUAAAAAGCUCGUAGUUGAAACUCAGGCCUGGCUGGCCGGUCCGCCUCACCGCGAGCACUGGUUCGGCCGGGCUUUUUCCUUCUGGGGAGCCGCAUGCCCUUCACUGGGUGCGUUGGGGAACCAGGACUUUUACUUUGAAAAAAUUAGAGUGUUCAAAGCAGGCAUAUGCUCGGAUACAUUAGCAUGGAAUAAUAGAAUAGGACGUGUGGUUCUAUUUUGUUGGUUUCUAGGACCGCCGUAAUGAUUAAUAGGGAUAGUCGGGGGCAUCAGUAUUCAAUUGUCAGAGGUGAAAUUCUUGGAUUUAUUGAAGACUAACUACUGCGAAAGCAUUUGCCAAGGAUGUUUUCAUUAAUCAGUGAACGAAAGUUAGGGGAUCGAAGACGAUCAGAUACCGUCGUAGUCUUAACCAUAAACUAUGCCGACUAGGGAUCGGACGGUGUUACUAUAUUGACCCGUCCGGCACCUUACGAGAAAUCAAAGUUUUUGGGUUCUGGGGGGAGUAUGGUCGCAAGGCUGAAACUUAAAGACAUUGACGGAAGGGCACCACCAGGCGUGGAGCCUGCGGCUUAAUUUGACUCAACACGGGGAAACUCACCAGGUCCAGACACAUUAAGGAUUGACAGAUUGAGCGUUCUUUCAUGAUCAUGUGGGUGGUGGU